Molecule: transfer RNA, 71 nt
Filed under: Phrynosoma platyrhinos (Desert horned lizard)
Lineage: Eukaryota; Metazoa; Chordata; Lepidosauria; Squamata; Phrynosomatidae
Description: tRNA-OTHER
Source: RNAcentral
GCCAGCGUGGCAUAGUGGUCUGAGUGUUGGACUACAAUUCUAGAAACCAGGAUUCAAUUCCCAGCUCAGCA